Molecule: ribosomal RNA, 478 nt
Filed under: uncultured bacterium
Lineage: Bacteria
Description: partial 16S ribosomal RNA
Rfam family: Bacterial small subunit ribosomal RNA
Source: RNAcentral
GACGAACGCUGGCGGCGUGCUUAACACAUGCAAGUCGAACGGUAAGGCCCUUCGGGGUACACGAGUGGCGAACGGGUGAGUAACACGUGGGUGAUCUGCCCUGCACUUCGGGAUAAGCCUGGGAAACUGGGUCUAAUACCGGAUAGGACCACUGCCUGCAUGGGUGGUGGUGGAAAGCGUUUGCGGUGUGGGAUGGGCCCGCGGCCUAUCAGCUUGGUGGUGAGGUGAUGGCCUACCAAGGCGACGACGGGUAGCCGGCCUGAGAGGGUGACCGGCCACACUGGGACUGAGAUACGGCCCAGACUCCUACGGGAGGCAGCAGUGGGGAAUAUUGCACAAUGGGCGCAGGCCUGAUGCAGCGACGCCGCGUGAGGGAUGACGGCCUUCGGGUUGUAAACCUCUUUCAGCACCGACGAAGCGCAAGUGACGGUAGGUGCAGAAGAAGGACCGGCCAACUACGUGCCAGCCGCCGCGGUAA